This 467-nucleotide ribosomal RNA is filed under the name uncultured bacterium. RNAcentral's name for it is "partial 16S ribosomal RNA". It matches the Rfam family "Bacterial small subunit ribosomal RNA", at positions 28 to 507 of the family's 1533-position model. The record is from RNAcentral.
GAUGAACGCUGGCGGCGCGCCUAACACAUGCGAGUCGAACGAUUAAAGCACCUUCGGGUGUGUAUAAAGUGGCGAACGGCUGAGUAACACGUGGGCAACCUGCCCCUUUCAUUGGGAUAGCCACGGGAAACCGUGGAUAAUACCGAAUACUUCGAGACUUCCGCAUGGAAGACUCGAGAAAGCUCCGGCGGAGAGGGAUGGGCCCGCGGCCUGUUAGCUUGUUGGUGGGGUAACGGCCUACCAAGGCAAUGAUGGGUAGCUGGGUUGAGAGACCGACCAGCCAGAUUGGGACUGAGACACGGCCCAGACUCCUACGGGAGGCAGCAGUGGGGAAUCUUGCACAAUGGGCGAAAGCCUGAUGCAGCGACGCCGCGUGCGGGACGAAGGCCUUCGGGUUGUAAACCGCUUUCAGCAGGGACGAGGCGAAAGUGACGGUACCUGCAGAAGAAGCCCCGGCUAACUACGUG